Homo sapiens (human) is the source of this 497-nucleotide long non-coding RNA. Lineage: Eukaryota; Metazoa; Chordata; Mammalia; Primates; Hominidae. The record is from Ensembl.
CAAACUCCAAACCAGGGGUAGCAGUCAUCUGAAAAAUGCAGAGACUAUUUUAAAGGACAGACAAGUGCCUCAGAUAGCAUCAGAGAACAAUGCCUAAGGUGCAUGGAUGGAAGCCAGUCUGCACAAAAUGCUGAAAAUAGGUCGUUCUGAGCAAGGGGGUCAUGGAGAAGAAAGUACCAGCCCUCCAUUCCUUACGCCCACUAGGGCUUAUGUCUGGGAUCCUCACAGAGACUAGAAGUGUCUCCCAUCCCCAUCGCAGUCCCUGGCACUUCCUGGAUUGUCGAGCGGCUCCCUGCCUCUGCCCUUUUGUAUUCGGAGCUACAGCCUUGCCUCCCCUGUUCCCACCACCCUGACCACCCCUCAACACCAUCCCGCUGUCAGCUCCGCCGCCAACUGAGGCGACACCUGUUCAUGGAAACCCUGUGAGCCUCUUCUGUAUCCAUACACAAUAGGUAAUGUUGUUUUACGUGUUUCAAAACAUCAGUGUUGUCCAACAG